Molecule: ribosomal RNA, 505 nt
Filed under: uncultured bacterium
Lineage: Bacteria
Description: partial 16S ribosomal RNA
Rfam family: Bacterial small subunit ribosomal RNA
Source: RNAcentral
GACGAACGCUGGCGGCGUGCCUAACACAUGCAAGUCGAACGGAAAGUCUAUACCGUAGUUUGCUACACCAUAAACUGUGAGUUGCGAACGGGGGAGUAACCCGUAGGUAACCUGUCGGGUAGCGGGGGGUAACUAAUGGUAACGAUAGAUAAUACCGCAUAAUAGUGUGUAUUGCAUGAUAAUUGGUUGAAAGAUGCUAUGACUUCACUGCUAUAGGGUUCUGCGUUGUAUUAGCUAGUAGGCGAGGGAACGGCUCACCUAGGCGGGGAUACAUAGCCGAGCGGAGAGGGUGGUCCGCCAGCCUUGGACGGAGACCCGGCCCAGACGCCUACGGGAGGCAGCAGUAGGGCAACUUCGGCCAAGGACGAGAGUCUGACCCAACACCGCCGCGGGAGUGAAGAAGGAUUUCGGAUCGUAAAGCUCUGUUGUAAGGGAAGAAAGGGUGUGAGAGUGGAAAGUUCACGUUGUGACGGUAUCUUACCAAAAAGGGACGGCUAACUACGUG